GCAAAGCUUAGGACUUGCCCGGAGCGGAGAGAAAGCAGAUAUAGAAGAAGAAAGAAAAGACUUAAAAAGAAACUC
Molecule: transfer RNA, 75 nt
Filed under: Gossypium harknessii
Lineage: Eukaryota; Viridiplantae; Streptophyta; Magnoliopsida; Malvales; Malvaceae
Description: tRNA-Pro
Source: RNAcentral